Molecule: ribosomal RNA, 253 nt
Filed under: uncultured bacterium
Lineage: Bacteria
Description: partial 16S ribosomal RNA
Rfam family: Bacterial small subunit ribosomal RNA
Source: RNAcentral
UACGGAGGGGGCUAGCGUUGUUCGGAAUUACUGGGCGUAAAGCGUCCGCAGGUGGACAUACAAGUCUGCUGUCAAAGUGCAGAGCUUAACUCUGUAAAGGCGGUGGAAACUGUAGGUCUUGAGUAUGGUAGGGGUAGAGGGAAUUCCCGGUGUAGCGGUGAAAUGCGUAGAUAUCGGGAAGAACACCAGUGGCGAAAGCGCUCUACUGGGCCAUAACUGACACUGAGGGACGAAAGCUAGGGGAGCGAAAGGG